GUCUUCUUAGUACAAACAAUACAAAUGACUUCCAAUCAUUUAAUCUUGGUUUAAACCCGAGAGAAGACA
RNAcentral lists this transfer RNA (69 nucleotides) under Quasipaa shini (spiny-flanked frog). RNAcentral describes it as "tRNA-Gly". It matches the Rfam family "tRNA". From Rfam's summary of the family: Transfer RNA (tRNA) molecules are approximately 80 nucleotides in length. Their secondary structure includes four short double-helical elements and three loops (D, anti-codon, and T loops). Lineage: Eukaryota; Metazoa; Chordata; Amphibia; Anura; Dicroglossidae. The record is from RNAcentral.